AUUGAACGCUGGCGGCAGGCUUAACACAUGCAAGUCGAGCGGGGUGAUGGUGCUUGCACUAUCACUUAGCGGCGGACGGGUGAGUAAUGCUUAGGAAUCUGCCUAUUAGUGGGGGACAACAUCUCGAAAGGGAUGCUAAUACCGCAUACGUCUUACGGGAGAAAGCAGGGGAUCACUUGUGACCUUGCGCUAAUAGAUGAGCCUAAGUCGGAUUAGCUAGUUGGUGGGGUAAAGGCUUACCAAGGCGACGAUCUGUAGCGGGUCUGAGAGGAUGAUCCGCCACACUGGGACGGAGGCACGGCCCAGACUCCUACGGGAGGCAGCAGUGGGGAAUAUUGGACAAUGGGGGGAACCCUGAUCCAGCCAUGCCGCGUGUGUGAAGAAGGCCUUAUGGUUGUAAAGCACUUUAAGCGAGGAGGAGGCUCUUUUGGUUAAUACCCAAGAUGAGUGGACGUUACUCGCAGAAUAAGCACCGGCUAACUCUGUGCCAGCAGCCGCCGUAA
RNAcentral lists this ribosomal RNA (503 nucleotides) under uncultured bacterium. Its description in RNAcentral is "partial 16S ribosomal RNA". It matches the Rfam family "Bacterial small subunit ribosomal RNA", at positions 30 to 523 of the family's 1533-position model. The record is from RNAcentral.